Mus pahari (shrew mouse) is the source of this 388-nucleotide long non-coding RNA. RefSeq lists it as uncharacterized. The transcript is spliced from 3 exons. The record is from RefSeq and is a predicted model, not a curated record. Lineage: Eukaryota; Metazoa; Chordata; Mammalia; Rodentia; Muridae.
AACUAACAUGACUGCCCUCCAGAAGCUUCCCAAAGCAGCUGAAAGAGUCAGAUGAAGAUAUUUCCACCAAAGCAAUGGACAGAAGAUAGCGACCCCAAUGGUUGAAUUUGCAAAAGCUGGAAGAAGCUUAUGAAGAAGGCAACCCUAUAGGAAAUAUAUUCCUCCAGCUGAAGUCACUGCUCGUGCUUUAAGAUACACUGUCCCUGUCACAGUCUUGGAUCAGUCAUCAUUUUCAAGGAAAAGGAUAUACUUCAGGAACCAGUAUCUGACAAAAUGAGGAGUCUUGCUGUCCUGCUCACUGAAUUCUGCAACUCAUCCCUGAAACCAUGCCUCAUUUCAGCUUCAUGAGAAGUUCACAGUACAAAGGCAAGCACCACAUUCAGCUGAU